CCUGCCUUGCAUCAACUGAAU
This 21-nucleotide microRNA is filed under the name Solanum lycopersicum (tomato). Its description in RNAcentral is "sly-miR168a-3p". Its record names the gene sly-miR168a-3p. Lineage: Eukaryota; Viridiplantae; Streptophyta; Magnoliopsida; Solanales; Solanaceae. The record is from miRBase by way of RNAcentral.